GGGAGAAGGAUUGACAUGUGAAGCAGCCUUGUUUCUAAUUUGAACUAAUAAAAAAUAAUCUCUUGGGGAAAAAGAAAACAAAAAACAAAAACAAUUUGAAUGAUCCAGGCAUGGUGGCACACACCUUUAAUCUCAGCACUCGGAAGAUAGAGGUAGGCAGAACUCUGUGAGUUUGAGGCCAGUCUGGCCUAUAGAGUAAAUUCCAGGACAGCUAUGGCUGUUAUACAGAGAAACACUGUCUCAAAAACAAAACAAAUAACAAUACUUGAAUGAUAAUAUACAUUUUCUACUUUAUAUUAUCAAUAAUUUUAUGAUAAUAUAAUAAUAUUAAACGAGUUAGCACAUUUGAUGGUUUUAAAACAUUUUCUGACCCACAUUUGCUGAAUAAUUGACUCUUACUAGCUUUAUCUUAAUUCAUUCAAGAAGGCUAGCUUCCUUAGCAUUAAGUAGUUUAACUUUGUUACUAUGUUUUACCAAUGACUAAUAUGUUAUUUUAAAAUAAAUCUUAUAUAAUUAUGACAGAUAGCUUAUGUGCAUAUUAUCUUACAAUAAUUUAUAUAUUGACACAAUACCUUGCUCGUAACUGGAUGUAGUAGUCUGGAUGAGAAAGGUCCCCUAUAGGUUCAGGUAGUUGACACUUGGUCUUCAGUAGAUGGUGCUGUUUGAGUUAUGGAACCUUUAGAAGGUUCAGGCUUGGUGGAGGAAACACUUCACUGGAGAUGGGCUUUGAGGGUUUAUAACCUCAUACCACUUCCUAUUCCUCUUUUCUGCAUCCUGUGUACAGAUGAAAUGUGAACCCCCAGCUUCCUGCUCCUACUUGAAUGCCUCCCUCAUAAUUAUGGCCUCAUAGCCCCCUGGAACUAUAGCCAAAAUAAACUCUUUUUCCAUUAAAUUGAUUUUGGUCACGGUAUAUUAAGACACCAAAGAAAAGUAACUAGCACAGUGGCCUACUUAAUCUUUACUACCUUGUAGAUGUUAUCUAUCUAUAACAAAUCUCUGUAUUAUUAUAUUUCUAUUGCAACUUGACUUACAGCUUUAUCUGAGAAUUACCUCAAACACUAUUUAUCAACUACUGCUUAUCUAUUGUCCUUUGACUUGAGAGUUCUCACCUCCACCAGUGCUCAGACCAAAGGGGUGAUCUACCGAACCUCAUAUUGCAUCUCCAGACUGCACUGUUCCUCACUGAAUCUCAGACUGCUGCCUGAGACUGCACUGAGGUCCUUAUAUUCUCUCUAGAGCUGGGAUUAAAGGCAUGAGCUCUGUUUCUCUUUGAGACUAAUUCAUUCUCAUGUAGCCAGGGUGACCUUGAACUCACAGAGAUCCAUCUUCCUCUGUCUCCUGAGACCUGGGAUUAAAGGUGUGCCACCAUUUCCCAGUUUCUAUAGCUAUGGCUAGCUUUGCAUUCUGAUCUCCAGGCUAGCUUUAUUAGAUCAUAAACAAUAAGGAAGCAGGCUCAGCAAGCCAUGAGGAGCAAGCCAAUAAGCAGCAUUCCUUCAUGGCUUCACUUUAGUUCUUUCUUCCAGGUUCCUGCCUUGGCUUCCCUCAAUUGACCAUGGUUCAUGACAUGCAAACCAAAUCACCCCUGCCUCCCUGAGUUGCUUUUAGUCAUGAUAUUUCAUCACAGCAGUAGAAACCCAAGAAAGACACAAAGUGAAAAACAUAUUUCUACACUUCCAGAAAUUUUAGUUGCCAACAUAUUUUCAAUGUAAAAAUGUGAAAUCAAUGAAAAAAUAAUUUUAGUCGACAUUGUAAAGUCUUUUGGGAAAUCCACAUGCAUUUUAGAAAUAGACUUCUCUGUAGUGCUUUUCAGUUUAUUAGAAAAUUCCUUUGCAUGUAGCCAAGGUAGACUAAUUUAUUAUUUUCAUUUAUUUUUUUCAUGGCUGAAAGAAACCCAAGGAUCAGAAACUACUUUCUAGAUAUUUGGAUCACACUAUCUCCCCACUGCUGUUUUUUCCAGCUCUCAUUCUUACCCCUAUGGGUAUAUGCUCUCACCUGAAAACAAGUUCUCAGACUCACAGGGGCCCCCUUUCACAACUUAAAAGAAGUCAGCCAAAGGGGAAAAGAGGAGGCAAUCUCAGACCUUUGGUCUCUCUUUGGUUCACAAACUCUGAGUGUUGGGUCACCUCCAAACACCUGCACCCAACUUGGAGAACUAGAUUGUGUUUAUGGCUCCUUAACCAGAUGAGUUCCCAUUAAAUGAACAUUAUUUUUCCAUAAUACAUUCUUCAUUGAAAUGCCACGCUUCAUGUUUAAACAAGGGUACAUACGGAGGUAUUUAAAACUCUAAGUAUUGGUAGAUCAUGCUUCCUUGCAAUCAUGAAAGGUGUGCAUGCAUACACAUGUUCUCUAGGAUUAAAUAGUAAACACAUACAACUGUCUAAUACAGAAAUAAACAGAAAAGAAUGUUUAGAAAAACACUGAAAAGAAAUAAUAUCAAAAAUAUAGACAAGCAAGACCCAGAAAAGGUUGUUGGGUAAUUAAGAGCACUUUCUGCUCCUACAGAAGAUCCAGGUUCAAUUCCCAGCAUACACACGGUAGGUCACAACUGCCUGUAACUUUAUUUCCAGUAGAUCCAAUGUUUCCUUCUCACGUCCAAGGCAUUUGCACAUGAACAUACUCUACACACAGACACAUAAAUAUAUGCAUAACUAAAAUAAUAAAGAUUAAUCUUUAAAAAUUCUGGCAAUAUUAUCUUGGGUAGACUAGCACUCCUAUGGUGCCAGCAGCAAUCCUUCAUGGGUAGCAAUUCUGUAUACCUGAGAUCUGUAAGUGGCAGCUAGAUCUGGAGUCUGGAUGUUUAAGGCACCACCUUAGAAAUGUAUGGAACUACCUGGGGGCCACUUGUGAAUGAUACAUUAAGACAGUGCUGUUGUAGAAACAGAGGCUAACUACUCCGCAUAAAGUUGGGGUAAAUAUAUAUAUUGUGUUUUUGUAGCAAGCUUUCUUCUCAACCUAUCUUUGUAUUACCAGCCCCCAAAUAACAACAUGGAGAGUUCUUAUUAAGUAUGAAAUCCUGGCCUUUAGUUUAGGCUUGUCCCCAGCUACCUCUUAUACCUCAAAUAAACCCAUAUUUUUUAAUCUUCUGCCACGUGACUUGGUUACUUCUCCUAAGUAUGGUACUUCCUAUUUGUUCCAAGUCUAGCUGGCAUCUCCCCGCCUUUCUCUUCCCAUAUUUUAUCUUACUGGUCUUUUGCAUUUUUUAGUUUUGGCGCUCUCUCUCUCUCUCUCUCUCUCUCUCUCUGUGUGUGUGUGUGUGUGUCUGUCUGUCUGUCUCUCUCUGUGUGUGUGUGUGUGUGUGUGUGUGUGUGUGUGUGUGUGUGUGUGUGUGUGUACACAUGCAUGCACAUUUAUUUUUUGUUUUGUUUUUAUUUCUUGUUUGGUGGGAGUUGAGUUUUUCGAAGAGAAAGAGUAUAAAGUUGAGAGUAUAAAGUUGGGUGGGUAGGAGAGUGGGGAGGAUCUGAAAGAACUUGGGGGAGGAAACAGUGACUAUGAAUAAUAGUUAAGUAAGCUGGCCCUUUCCCUCUAAGUCAGCAUGUAUACAUCCUGCCUUAAGCAUAAACCUUGGAAAUUUACCAAAGUUAGAGAAAAUUUCAUUGGUAGUGCAUAGCCCUAGGGAACCAAGUGAUAAACACUGCCCUCAGGCCUUUUCCAAAUCCUCAUACAGAUAAACCAUGGAUCCAAACCACCGAAAUCUGAACUGUAGGAAACAGGCUUCUCUUGUGUGCUGUGACUGUAAUUCACUAUAAAGCAGUACAGGGUGUCUUGAAGAUGCAGGAGCCUUUAGGCUGAGCAGAUCUGAUUGUUCCCAGAAGGUACCCUGAUUCUGGCACGUGUCCCUUGAUUUCUUUCCACCACACCACUUUCCCAAGAGAUAUAAAACCAAAUCCCAAGGCCAAGCAAGAAAACCCUACACACCUCUACUGCUAUCCCUGGGCCCAGAGGUUGCCAACUCAGUUAGGCUGAAUCCAACGAACUCCAAGGAUGCACCAAAUGAGCCCCAGAAAAUGGGCUCUAGCAUUCAUUGUUCCUCCGUGAGUUUGUUCUUCCUGCUUUUUGCUCACUGAGUUCAUAUCAGUGAAAAAACCACUGGCUGCCAACAGCCACAGCAUAAACGCAUUAACUGCUCUUAACCUGACAAACCCAAAGUAGGAAUCUUACCCAUUCUCAGUCAAAGGACUUUGCCAACCACUUGAUUUCACUAGAUUUUUAACAGAGACAGUCAGGCUGCUCAUGAAUUAAACUGUAAAGAGGAGAAACUUUUAAAUUAGGACUAAACUGUAUACCAAGGCGUUCAGCAUAAACAAAAUCCCAGUUAUGAACAGGAAUCACUCUGGAAACAAUGUUGCUCCAAGCAGUAAUAACUCCCAUGUACUAGCUUCUCCCUCCAUAGAAGACAAAUGGAAAGAUCCACCACAAGUGCCAUGGUCCCAAGGACACUUCAGCUUAGAUGUCUUGUCUACAGAAAAGCUGAAUCCACACCCUUGGGGAAUCUAUUGCUCUUAGGGUCUGCCUUUCCUUUAUCAGCAUUUAUCAGUUUAUAGAUUCAUCCCCUUUGGAUUUCAAAUUUCAGUGGAAGCUUUGAGAAAGAGAUUUAGAUGUUCAACCUAAACAAUCACACCCUAAAAGGCAGCCAAGUAAAAUAAACUAGGGAAUUUUCUGAUUAAAAACAACAAAAAACUUCAAAGAAAUUGCAUCCAGAUGGUUCCCUUCAAACGUUGAUUUAUUUUUUCUGAAAUGUGAACAAGAGGAAGCAAGCUGUGGCAGAAAGAUUGGUUUAGACAUACUGAGAGCAAAGCUUGUUAAGAGGGAGGGGCAGCGGGCGUUAGUGGCUCACGCCUUUAAUCCCAGCACUAGGGAGGCAGAGACAGGCAGAUCUUUGUGAGUUUGAGGCCAGCCUGGUCUCCAGAGCGAGUGCCAGGAUAGGCUCCAAGCUACACAGAGAAACCCUGUCUUGAAAAACCAAAAAAAAAAAAAAAAAAAAAAAAAGGGAGGGGCAAGGAAGGAGGAGGGGAGAGAGGCCAGGGAGGGAGGAGCUAAAUUUUUAAAGCAUUAUAAGAGGUAGUCUCUAUAAAUGCAUUGACUUUUAGAAUUUGAGAGGGCCUCAAUAAAUCUUUACCAAAGGUCAAAAUCACAAUAGCAGUUAGGGCAGAUAUGCUGGUGUGAAAAUGCAGACAUGGAAGCAGGUAUCCAUCACUGAUGAAGGCUAUCUGAGCAAACAUGCCUGGUGUACAGCACUCUGGAGUUAGUAACAGGCCCUGCUGCAACAGUGACCAGGUAUCUUUACACUCUCAGGAUUCAAAUUUUUCUCAGUGUGUCACAACAGAGGAACUGAACUAGUCAAUUGUCCCAUUGAGAAGCAUAAUGGAUUUUAAGAUUCCUUCUAACUUUUAAUCAACUGUAACAAGACACAAAUAGCCUGUUUAAAAGAAUAUUGUUAGAAUUACUAUGGCUGCAAUAAAACACCAUGACCAAAGCAACCUGGGGAGGAAAGGUUUAUUUGGCUUACACUUCCAUUGCACUGUUCAUCAUGGAAGGGAGUCAAGCAAAAUAGGAACCUGGAGGCAGGAGUUGAUGGAGGAGUGCUGCUUACUAGCUUACUCUCCAAGAUUUGCUCAACCUGCAUCCUUAUAGAACUCAAGACCACCAGCGCAAAGAUGACACCACCCACAAUAGGCUGGGCCCUCAUAUAUCGAUUACUAAAUACCCUACAGACUUACCUGCAGCCUAAUCUUAUGGAGGUCAUUUCUUAAUUGAAGAUCCCUCCUAUUGGAUUGCUAUAACUUGUGUCAAGUUGACAUAAAACUACUUGGCCAUGAAAUGUUAGUCAUAAGUCAUAGGUUACACUGCUUUGGCCAAGAUGGAAAGCUACCUUCUCUAAAGAACUCUAGUAUUUGCCAUCAAAUCUAGAGAGAAGGAAUCAGAGAAUGUCUUUCUAGAGUGUGAUGCUUUGUACAGCUGGAACUUUGCUGUUUUGGAGUGAGGGAGAAUUUCAAAUGGGAGGGGAGCUCUCAUGGCUUUGAUAUCACUUAAUGAGAUCAACAUUAUAAGAGAAAAGAAUAGGCCGGGCGUUGGUGGUGCAUGCCUUUAAUCCCAGCACUCGGGAGGCAGAGGCAGGUGGAUCUCUGUGAGUUCGAGGCCAGCCUGGUCUCCAGAGCAAGUGCCAGGAUAGGCUCAAAAGCUACACAGAGAAACCCUGUCUCAAAAAAAUAAAAUAAAAUAAAAUAAAAUAAAAUAAGUAAAAAGAAUAGAAUACAUGUAUAGGAAAAUUUAAAAGCAGGGAAAAGUGAAAACAGGGAUACCUGGGAAAGAUUAGAAGGAAAGACAGAUGACAAAAAGAAUGUAAUUGAGGAGGGAUAAGCAUGUCCCACAAAUGGCUAUUGCUUCAGGAGGAUACUGGUAAGUGAUCAAGGUGAGAAUUAAGACCACUGUAACCACCAUUGAAAUGCAUGUAGGCUGGGGCUCCUAGUGUUGCUUUGUAGUUCAGUACUUGCCUAGCAUGCAAGAGGCCCUGGAUUUCAUUUCUUAGGCAAAACCCAAAGAUGUCUUGCUGAUUAGCAGACUCAACCAGUUAGCUAAGCUAUCGCCACUUGGGUUGAAACAAGCCCUCCUCUUACAACAUCUAUCACCCAGUCAUUGCAGAAACAAGAGUAUGCUACUAUAGCUUAGAUGAGUGUCUGCCAACAAUCCAUGUGUUUAUAGCCUGGUCCUCAAGCUGGUGUUUUAAAAGGUUGGCGCUGCAGCUGGGGAGAUGGCUCAGAUUGCUGUACAGGAAUAAGAACUGAGUUUGGAUCCUCAACACGCAAAUAAAAUUUGAGGGCAACAGUGUGCUUCUGUAACUCCAGUACAGGGAAGAGACAGAGACAGAUCCCAUGGGCUUUCUGAGCAGCCAUCACCAAUGUGAUGAGCUCCACCUUCAGUGAAGAGACCUUGUCUCAAAAAACAAGGUUGGCCUGUGUGGUGGCUUGAAGAAAAUGGCCCCUAAAGAGAGUAGCAUUAUUAUUAAGAGGUGUGGCUUUGUUAGAGUAGGUGUGACCUUGUUGGAGGAAGUAUGUCACUGUAGGGAUGGGAUUUAAUAUCUCCUUUACUCAAGCUUCACUCCCUGUGAUACUCAGACCACUUCCUUUUGCCUGUGCAAGAUGUAGAACUCUCAGCUACUUCUCUAGCACCAUGUCUGUCGAAUGCUGCCAUGUCCCACCUUGAUGAUAAUGGACUGAACCUCUGAACUGUAAGCCACCCAACUAAAUGUUUUCCUUCAUAAGAGUUGCCAUGGUUAUGGUGUCUCUUCAUAGCAAUAGAAACCCUAACUGAGACAGCCUAGAGAAAUGGCUACAUAGUUAAGAGCACAUUGUGUUCUUUCAGAAGACCCAAAUUCAAUUGCAACCAUACUUGUUGGGCUGUUCACAAGCACCUGUAACUCUAGAUCCAGACACGACACCCUCUUCCUGACUCUAUGAGCACCACAUUCAUGCACACAGUUUAAAAGAAAAUAUUUUUAAGAGGAGAACAUUAAAAUAAUUAAUAAGUUGGAUAGUGAUUGAGAAAGAUACCUAAAAUCAACCUUUGCCUCCACCUGUGCACAUGGAUGCAUGCACCUAUAUGUAUCAUGGGGAAAGAAGUCUUUGGGGGCACUGAGAGCAUUACCUUGAAGGGGAUUUUGGGAUCCCAGUCUCAGUAACAGUCUUUCUCUGCAUCCUAGCUUGUGGUAAAAAGUAGCUUUUCUCUGCCAUGCAUUCCUGCAGCCCUCACCAUAGAACCACAGCACGGAGCCAUCUGAUCUUGGGCUGUGACCUUCAGAAGAACCAGCCAAAAUAAGUCCUUUCUUCUUGCAAGUUGGUUGUCUCUGACAAUCCAUUGUAGUAAUGUUAAAUGGACUAAGAUAAUGCAGCAUGCAGGCAGAGGUUAUCCUCUAAAUAUCUCAAGUGAUAAUGUGGGCAAGCCUUUCCUGCCCAGUCACAUUCAAAGACAAAAUGAGUAUGACUAAACCCUUUGUGAGAUGGUGUAGAUGGAGGGUAGUGGGUGUGGAUCCUAUAACAUUGUGUCAAGGGUGAAGUAGAAAUGGGGUUUAGGGCCAGUCUCUAGACAUGGGCGUGGCUGGAUACUUAUUCAAGUCAGCAAGUUCCCUAAUGUCUUGAUAACUAUUUUCAAACCUGUACAAUAGACAUAAAGGCUGGCACAAACUACAGAAAGUCUUCACCAGGAACUGAGUUAAUUAAUGAGUAUAAGGAAUGUGGUAUCACAUCUGUCACAUAGAAACUACUCAUAAUGCAACCUAGUUUCUAGAUCAAAGUUGAGCAUCAUCACUGGUGUUCCAGAAUAUUUUAUGACCCCAUAUACCCAACAUUUAGAAACAAAAGUCUUAUCUUACCUGCUGAGUAAAGGACUAAUUGCCUCUAAGCUCUUGACCCUUCUCCUAUUAGAAUUAUUCUCUGAAAUGUUUCUACACAAUGUGAUUUAGAAAUAAUGUACAGGCUUUGGGUCCAGGCAACCACCCCAGUCAACCAGUGGCCUGUCUGCUGUUAAAGUCACUGUCAGGGAGAGAACACUACUUUGCCUAAGAGUCAGUAGCUACUUAUUAGGGAAGCCCAUCUUCACCUACACAUCCCUGGACUGAUGCCUACGAAGAGGGCAACAACAGAGCUUCCCAUGCUGAGCUACAAGCCUGGGAACUGGACCCUGUUGCUGCAUCUAUUUUUAGUUAUUUUUCUCUUUGUGCCAUUAACACAGCUCUUGGGAUGAUGGCCUUUAACUUCCUUUUCUAUUCUCCUGUGGGUCAAAACCUUUAGAAACUGACUCUGGAUCUCCCUAGAGUCUAACUCAUUCUCCAAACACUGCACUUUAACUUGAUAUACAAGAAAGGGUGUUCCUUCCUCUUCCUGUACGUCAGCUGACAUUCUACCUGCAAGUCAAAAUUCAAAAGCUCUCAAUAGGCAAAUGUGAUUAGUCAGCUAUUUGUUAUGGGCCAGAAGUCAUGUUUUGACCCUUGGAAGCUCUACAAAUAGAAGCCUUGCACGUUUGGCAUCCUUCUUUGUUAGAAAUCGACAGUAGGUGGUGUCAGCUAGGAGUGGAGAGUCUAGGGGAACAGAGCAGAGCCAACAUGUGUACAAAGAUUCACACAGAGAUUGUGGAUGUGGCACAUGCUGGGAUAUUUCUCAAAAGGAGGCAGUAUGACUGUAGGUUACCACUGUCACAGCAAUUUGAAGCACAUAUUGUAUUUGACACAAAUCACCAUGCAUGCAUGUGUCUGAUUUUGGUGGAAUUUAACUCUUCAAGUCUCACAUGCCUUCCUGCAUCUCCCAUGCCUCUGAGAUAGGAAUACUUCUAAAUCACUGUCCUACAUCUUUGAAAUUACCACAUGUAUCAAUCAGGGCUCUCUUGAGAAACAGACCUGAUAGAUACAUUAAGAUGAUGAGAGUAGGCUUUGUUAGGAGGACUUGGCUCACAUAACUAAGAAAGUCUGAGAGGCCCUAUGAUCUUAUACCUGCAAGCCAGAGGGUUAGCAGAGUUGGGGAGGUAAGACAAUCCAAACCCAAAGAUCUAAGAAUGCAAGGAGCCUGUGUUAUACAUAAACCCUAGUCCUAGUCUGAAGACCCAAAGAUUUGGGAGGGCAGGGAGGUAAUGGUGUAAAUUCAAGAACCUAAGAACCAUGAGUGUUGAUGUGAAACCAAGACAGAUGGAAGAAGGGGGUACCUUGACUCAAGCAGAGAUAGUAGAGAAGGGCUCAAAAGUACCUGACACUUAUGUGAGAGACUGGGGAGAAGACAAGAACACAAUGCAACUUGAAGGUUCCUCUUAAUGCUCUCCUCCUAAGGUUUUUACUUCUUCCUUCAAGAACUCAGAAGUGGUAUUUGGAGCAGCGUGUGCACAUAAAUGCAGUCAAUGUUAAUAUAAGUGAAGGAAAACAAACAUGGAAAAGGAGUUGGCUGCCACUUAGGAGACUUGAUUGCAUUUCAUUUUGAAUUCACUUAUGCUCAUAAUGCUGCUACAUUAAAGAAAUUCACAACAGCUGGGAAUGAAAGCCUUGGCAUUUUAAAGAAUGUUAGGAUGCUGUGUUCUCAUCCACCAUCUCAUUUCAUUGUGCUCCUCAUGACUUCAGAUUUUUCAUAAUUUUAUUUUUUAUUGAAAAAGUUAUUUUCAUACAAUAUAUUCUGAUCAUGGGUUUCCCUCUCUCAUCUCUUCCCAGAUCUUCUCCUCCCCGACCCUUCCAAUAUCAUGCUGUCUUUCUCCAUCUCCCUUAAGAAACCAAACAGGCAAAUGAAAAAUUAAACAAAUAAGCAUAAAACAAAACUUACAACCAAAGUAAGAAAGAAAAAAGAGCACAAAAAUGCAUACACAUGUAGAGAUACACAUAUACAUCCUAGCCAAACUCAUAAAACACAAAAUCACAAGCUAUAAUGUAUAAGCACAAGACCAUUCAAGUUAAAAAUGACCUAUCAAAAGCAAUAUGAGACAAAAUAAAUACCUUUGAGUUCACUUUGUGUUGGCCAUCUAUUGCUGGGCAUGGAUGGACCCACCCUUGCAUGUGGUUUGUAUACUUAGUGAGACUCCAUUGGUGAAAACUAAUUGUGUGUGUGUGUGUGAGUGGUUAUCAAUUGGAGAUAGCUUCUUGGUUGGGGAGACCAUGUCUACUUUCCCAUCUCAUCUUGGACCCUGUCUGGUUUGGAUUGUGGGGCCCUGUGCAUGCUAGGACAGUCUCUGUGAGUUCAUAUGUGCACCAGGUCAGUGUAUCUGGAAGGCCUUGUUUCCUUGGUGUCCUCCAUUCCCACUACCUCUCACAAUCUUUCUGCCCCAUCUUCUGCUUAGUUUCCUGAGCCCUGAAGUGAAGUAUUUGAUGAAGACAUUCCAUUUAGGACUGGGUAUUGUAAGAAAUAUUGUCUCUAUAUUUGUUUCAAUCUAUAGCAGGAGGAAAGUUCUCUGAUGGUUGCUGAGCAAGACACUGAUCUGUGAGUAUAGCAUAAUGUUGCUAGUAGUCAUUUUAUUGCUAUCUCCUAUAGUAUCUGGCUUUACCAGAGGUUCCUGUGCUAUCUAGUCUCAGGUUCUUUCCACCUGUGCAUUGUCAGUCAUGGGUUCCAUCUCAUGCUGUGGGCUUUAAAUCCAACCAGAUAGUGGCAUGUUACUCCUACAAUGUCUGUGCCCCUGCUGUGCCAGUGUCUCUCACAGGCAGGUCAUUGCAGGUUACAGAGUUUGUUGCUGGUUGGUAUUUCCCUUUCUCCUCUGGUAGUGGGCAGAGUCAGUACCCUGAACAGUAUCAUGACUUGAAAUGUAAUGUAACCCUUUAAAAGAAUCUGCUAAAUAUCACUAAAUGAUUUGGGAAAACACAAAACUAAAACUAGUGUACUGUCUGUGGGCAGUAAGGGACAGCAAAAAGCAAAGUUUCCUACAGCCCCUUUCUCUCUUCACCUCUGCAAGGACUCUUUUAAGCAUUGAGGGUUUCUAUAAAACAUAAAGACAGAUGGAAAUGUUCCCAAAUGUUCUUUCCUUUGCUCAAAAUGUUUCUUCUCAUUUCCCCCCUUUAAAUAGGAGUUUACAAACAGAAACAAAUAAAUCUAACAUAUAUCAAAAUAACAAAAAUUCAUUAUUCACUGUAAGUUGAUAAGGGAAAUCUUGAUUCCAGUGGAGCUCAUUGGUGUAACUAGAUUAGUACAUAUAAAAUAAUGUUUUUAAAGAUUCAUUUUAUUGUUAUUUAUUUGGAUGUCUAUAUAUCUUUAUGUGUGGGUAUCUGUACCAUGCAUGUGUAGUGCCUGAGGAGACCUGAAGAGGGUGUUGGACUCCCUGGAACUAGAAUUACAGGUGUUUGUGAGCCUCUGGAAGUGGGUACUGGGAACAAAACUAGGGUCCUCUAUGAGAGAAGAAAGUGCUCUUAACCUCCAAGCCAUCUCUCCAGUCCCCUAAUUGGUAUUUUUUUAGAAGUUAAGAUUCCUUUGUUCUGGCAUUUGUUCUGACAUUUGAUCCCUUAGAUCAAACUGCCACUCUGCUGGAGCAUUGCUGAGACCACAGGAUCCCACCAUCAAUCUUCCUCCCACUCCAUCCUUCUUCCUUAGCAACUUUUGUUGAUGGCCUUGGGAUCUUGUUUCCCAGGCUGCUUGACCAAGAGCAUCCUGUGCAUGAAGUCUACCCAUGGAAGGAUUUAUUCUUUUCCCUCAAUGACUGAACAUUUAGUUGUCAUUCUGAUCAGUGUUUUGAACUUGGUUUCUGAGAAUCUCCUCUAUGAGAUGAAUCUUGGGCUUUGCCUAAGUCAUAUUUCGAAGCCUGAAUGUAGUCCUAAGAUGAGAUCAAGAUAAUAUAUGCUUCUGUGUUGGGCUAACCCACUAUGAACAGCCACUGGGCAGAAAAUGCUCAACCCUCCCAGUAGCUUCCCACAUGACUGCUUUUUCCUCAGACAUUUUUGCUACUGUAGUUUUAGUUUAGUUUACAAACUAAACUGCACUUGCAAGAGAAAAUUAUGAUUACCCAGAAUGGUCUCUUCCUAGUCUUUCAUGUUAAAUUUGAAAGCAUUGUUGAGACUAGCUAGCCUCCAAACCUGAGCCUAGGGGAUGACUUUAGUCUGCCCCAUGAAAGAACAAUAGAAGACUCAUGCUAUAUUGGCCACCUGUGCAUAGCUGUGACAAAAAUACCUGACACGAACACCUUCACCUUAAGGGAGGAAGGAUUUGCUCUGAUUCAUGGUUUCAGAGAGCACAGUCAAUGGCUGCCAGGCUCCAAGAGCUUGAACAGAAGACACUGGCAGUGGGAACAUGUCAAAAAUAAGCUUUGUCACCUCAUUGCAGACAGGAAAUGGGGGCUGCAGGAAGGAGAUGUACUCCCAAGGACCUGCCUCCAGUGACCUACUUCCUGAAGGUAUGCCCUGCUUCCUGAAGCUUCCACAACUCCCAAGAAAGAACCACCAUCUGUGAACCAAGCAUAAGCCGUUAGGGACAUCCCAGUCUCAACCUUAGCACAUACUGAGGCAUGAUGGUAACAGGACUUUGGGAACUGGAUUCCCAGGACCACACUUCACCCAUGUGUCUCCACUGGAUUUCUGCUGACAGCUAAACACUAGACAGCAAUACUGUUUUCUUCUCCACCAAAUGGGAUCAGCUCCACACAUUCUCUUUCCUCAAUUUUUUCCCAAGUUAGGAAAGAGAAUAGUCACAAAUUCACUGAGAGAUAUGUGGCAAUAAUCAUAUUACAAUGAAUGAGGAAAGAAGGCAGUGUGGAAACACCGUAUUUGGGGUCUUCCAUUUCAAUGGGAAGAGAAUUUCCCCUGUCACUGUGUGAAAAAUGCACGGGAAACCAACACAACAUCCUUUUCACUUUGCAUCUGAAAUAACUUUCCAGUCACUUGACUGUACCACACAGGUGUGAGCUAUUCAAUCCAAAAUAGGAACCAAGACCGAACAGUUAAUUGGAAAGUUAGGUAAUAUCCUGAGUGUUCCAUGCUUAUGUUGACAGCUGAGCAGUGUGGGGAAGAGUCGGGGAUAUGACUGGCUUCUCACUGGCUUCCCUGCUCUCUCUCUGCUUACCCCCUCUUAUCUUUAGCCAGUGAGGGCAAGAACAGGCAAGGAGAAUGGAUGGAAUGUUAAAAUAAUGAGUGCACAGUCCUAGGGUUAGCUUCAGACUCUCUAGGCCUCUGGCCUGUCAUAAAACAAAAAAUAAAAUAAAAUAAAAAACAACAACAACAAAAACCACCUCCCCCUCCCAUGGAUGUCGGUGGCCUCCUGCGUGUCCAUCUGACCACAGUUUCCUAACAGGCUGUGCUCCUCUUUCACUAGCUGCUUUACCCUGAUUGUUCCUCAGCAUGCAGUGUGGUCUUCUGGUUGUUAGAUCUGCAUGCCCUGCUGUUGGUAGUAUUGAAGUUAAAUCCACCUCUCACUCUGUCAGCUACUAAGCAAGGCAACCUCUAGGGGCAAACUGCUAUAUUAAUAUACCUUCAAAACAUCCUCUCCCCACCCCGCAACAAAAUUUUCUGAUGAGUUGACCAUGCUCAAAAGGCCCUUAUUCUCUACAUAUUCUUGAAGGUGUAUUCUGCCAUCCUGAGCUAAGCAUGCCAAAGGAUGUGUCCUUCAUUUUUCUUUAGUUAGGAUCUUGAGCUGAGUGGGUUCAGAAUGUACUAUUCAGCUGAGCAUGCUCAAGACUGUGACUUCUUGUGUGGUUACAUGUAGAGUGCCUUCCCAAAAACCUCCAUGCUUGUUUUGUUCAAGAAGGGCAUGGCUUUGGAAACAAUUAUCCUACCAUCCUUAGCUGCCACAGGUAAGAAGUUUUCUAGCAUUCUCCAGUUCUCUGUUGUGUUUCUAAUUUUAGCUUUGUUCUCACAAGGUGUGAGCCCAUUAUGUAACACAAAUAAUAAAAACCCAGAGACAGAUAAUGGGGUUCAAGCUAAAGAUCAGAAAGGCAAAGCAGCAAAGCCAUUAGAGAGUUCUUACCUCUAGCAAGGCUAAGACCAAAGAGGGGCAAUCCUGUCCUCAGAGUGACUGCAAUGCUCUCCUCCAAACCUCAGACUGCACUGAGCUCCUGCCUUAUAUUCCUCUAGUGCAGGGAUUGUAGGCUGUCAUCCCAACUACUGGGAUCAAAGGUGUGAGCUCUGUUUCUCUUUUAGACUGAUUGAUUCAUGUAGUCCAGGGUGGCCUUGAACUCACAGAGAUCCAUCUGCCUCUGUGUCCCCAGUUCUGAGAUUAAAGGUGUGGCCACCACUGCCUGUCCUCUAUGGCUAACUAGUGGCUUGGUGUGUGUGUGACUAACUAGUGGCUUAGCUCUUAACUAGGUGUGUGGAUAACUAGUGGCUUAGCUCUGCACUCUCAUCUUUGGGCAAGCUUUAUUUGUUAGAUGACAAACAAAAUAUCACCACCCAGUUACAUUUAGUCCUGCAUUGUGGUAUGUAUUCAAAGUCAGUAAGCAGGAUUAACCACAGUCCCAGUGAUCUUGAGUCCUGUUGUUCAUAUCUCACUUUGGGGUCUAUCUCAGCUGAAGCUUGUUACACAUUCAUUCUCUUUCAGUAGUAAAUGUCACAAACAUCUAUUCAUUUUCUUUCAGUAGUAAACGUCACAAACAUCUAUCAAGAGCAGUUUGUGUGCCAGGCUGUCUGUCUGUUUCCCUCCUUCCUUUGGAAGCAGUCUUGGAGGGUGAAGGUACUGGAAGGAUGGGUCUGGGCAACACAUCCUGCAAGUGACUUGGAGAAUGAGCCUCGGGAUCACUGGGAAAGAAGCCAUUCGUCCUCCCUGCUCAAUGCUCAGCAGUCAUCUCUCAGAGAACAGACUUCUUCUGGUCUCUGUGGGCAAUGCACAGCUUGCAUCAUUCACCAAAGGCAAAGCAAACCCACUGUUUUAUUAACUUCUGAUCCUGUUGAGAAAACCAAGUGAUGCAGACCAAGCAGUUACAGAAAAAGGGAAAGACCACAUCUCUACGGGAAAAAAAAAAUGCUUCUGUCAUUCAACUGGAUAUUGAUUUAUGCAAUUAUUCACUUGUUUUUUGGGGUGUUUUUUGUUUUUUUGUUUUUGUUUUUGUUUUUUUUUUUUUUUUUUUUGGUUUUUUGAGACAGGGUUUCUCUGUGACUUUGGAGGCUGUCCUGGAACUAGCUCUUGUAGACCAGGCUGGUCUCAAACUCACAGAGAUACGCCUGUCUCUGCCUCCCAAGUGCUGGGAUUAAAGGUGUGUGUCACCACCGCCCAGCUUAUUCACAUAUUUUUAAUGAAACCAAAACAGCACUUACUAAUGGAACAACACAGUCAAAAUCAAAAUCUAAC
RNAcentral lists this long non-coding RNA (15716 nucleotides) under Cricetulus griseus (Chinese hamster). RNAcentral describes it as "lncRNA (ENSCGRG00015038867.1)". Lineage: Eukaryota; Metazoa; Chordata; Mammalia; Rodentia; Cricetidae. The record is from RNAcentral.